Molecule: ribosomal RNA, 305 nt
Filed under: uncultured bacterium
Lineage: Bacteria
Description: bacterial SSU rRNA
Rfam family: Bacterial small subunit ribosomal RNA
Source: RNAcentral
GGAUACCUACGCGGGGCAGCAGUGAGGAAUAUUGGUCAAUGGGCGGAAGCCUGAACCAGCCACGUCGCGUGAGGGAAUAAGGCCCUACGGGUCGUAAACCUCUUUUGCCGGGGAGCAAGGGCCGGGACGAGUCCCGGUCCGGAGAGUACCCGGAGAAAAAGCAUCGGCUAACUCCGUGCCAGCAGCCGCGGUAAUACGGAGGAUGCGAGCGUUAUCCGGAUUUAUUGGGUUUAAAGGGUGCGUAGGCGGGCUUUUAAAUCAGCGGUAAAAAUUCGGGGCUCAACCCCGUCCGGCCGUUGAAACUG